UACAGAGGGUGCGAGCGUUGUUCGGAAUUACUGGGCGUAAAGCGUGCGUAGACGGUUAUUUAAGUCGGGUGUGAAAGCCCCGGGCUCAACCUGGGAAUUGCAUUCGAGACUGAAUAGCUAGGGUACGGUAGAGGGAAGUGGAAUUUCCGGUGUAGCGGUGAAAUGCGUAGAUAUCGGAAGGAACAUCAGUGGCGAAAGCGACUUCCUGGACCAGUACCGACGUUCAGGCACGAAAGCGUGGGGAGCAAACAGG
This 253-nucleotide ribosomal RNA is filed under the name uncultured bacterium. RNAcentral describes it as "partial 16S ribosomal RNA". It matches the Rfam family "Bacterial small subunit ribosomal RNA", at positions 524 to 776 of the family's 1533-position model. The record is from RNAcentral.